RNAcentral lists this ribosomal RNA (462 nucleotides) under uncultured bacterium. RNAcentral's name for it is "partial 16S ribosomal RNA". It matches the Rfam family "Bacterial small subunit ribosomal RNA", at positions 28 to 507 of the family's 1533-position model. The record is from RNAcentral.
GACGAACGCUGGCGGCGUGCUUAACACAUGCAAGUCGAACGGAAAGGCCCUUCGGGGUACUCGAGUGGCGAACGGGUGAGUAACACGUGGGUGAUCUGCCCUGCACUUUGGGAUAAGCCUGGGAAACUGGGUCUAAUACCGAAUAGGACCACGCGCUUCAUGGUGUGUGGUGGAAAGCUUUUGCGGUGUGGGAUGGGCCCGCGGCCUAUCAGCUUGUUGGUGGGGUAAUGGCCCACCAAGGCGACGACGGGUAGCCGGCCUGAGAGGGUGACCGGCCACACUGGGACUGAGAUACGGCCCAGACUCCUACGGGAGGCAGCAGUGGGGAAUAUUGCACAAUGGGCGCAAGCCUGAUGCAGCGACGCCGCGUGAGGGAUGACGGCCUUCGGGUUGUAAACCUCUUUCACCAGGGACGAAGCGUAAGUGACGGUACCUGGAGAAGAAGCACCGGCCAACUACGUG